CGUUUUCCGUGGCACCCCGGGUAUAAAUCCUUUGGAAUAGGGUAUCAUAGAGGGUGAGAAUCCCGUCUUUGACUCAGUGCAUGCUACUAUGUGAUACGUUUUCAAAGAGUCGAGUUGUUUGGGAAUGCAGCUCAAAAUGGGUGGUAAAUUUCAUCUAAGGCUAAAUAUUGGCGAGAGACCGAUAGCGAACAAGUACCGUGAGGGAAAGAUGAAAAGAACUUUGAAAAGAGAGUUAAACAGUGCGUGAAAUUGUUGAAAGGGAAACGUUUGACACCAGUUAUGCGGGUGGAAAAUCAGUCUUUUGCAAUGGGGAGUUGUGGGCGUUCAGACCGCAAGGCUGGCGUUUGCUUCAUCUUUGUUGUAAGUGAUGCACUUUUUCAUUUGCAGGUCAACAUCAGUUUGCUUUGCUGGACAAAACCCCAAGGGAAGGUGGCAGCUUAGGCUGUGUUAUAGCCCUGGGGCGAUACAGUGGAGUGGACUGAGGUUUCGCAGUGUGUGCUCUCGGGCAAGGCUGACUGGGUGCUAUGGGAUCGUUCGGCGUACAAUGCAUGCAUUUUGCGUCGUGUCUUUUUCAUACUCGCUCAACUCGGCUCUUCCACGCUUAGGAUGUUGACUUAAUGGUUUUAAACGACCCGUCUUGAAACACGGACCAAGGAGUCUAACAUAUAUGCAAGUGUUUGGGUGGCAAACCCAUGCGCGUAAUGAAAGUGAACGUAGGUGCCAUCCGCAAGGUGCAGCAUCGACCGAUCUUGAUAUUUUUGGAUAGAUUUGAGUAAGAGCAUAUAUGCUGGGACCCGAAAGAUGGUGAACUAUGCCUGAAUAGGGUGAAGCCAGAGGAAACUCUGGUGGAGGCUCGUAGCGAUUCUGACGUGCAAAUCGAUCGUCAAAUUUGGGUAUAGGGGCGAAAGA
Molecule: ribosomal RNA, 909 nt
Filed under: Linnemannia fluviae
Lineage: Eukaryota; Fungi; Mortierellomycota; Mortierellomycetes; Mortierellales; Mortierellaceae
Description: eukaryotic LSU rRNA
Rfam family: Eukaryotic large subunit ribosomal RNA
Source: RNAcentral